AUCUUUAACGUUUUAGAUCUUAGUAUGCAGGUCCCUGGCACUGUGGUUUAGUGGACGGAUGUGGGAGGGGCAUUUUUGUUGGACUAGAGUUCAAAACCAUUCAGCAGCUCCGCAGUCUACGUCAGGGUGCUUAACUCCAUGACCUGCCGCUUCUUCAUCUGUGAGAUGCCAGGAGGAAAAGCCACCGAAUAAUGCAGAGAGAACUGAAUGUUUUUGGGGGACAUAUUGGAAUCCUUUAAAUGGAGAAACAACUACCUACGUGGGAGCCUGAGAGGGAUCUUACCUCCUGGGAAUCGAGGGUACCCAAGCACGUGGCACAGACUUCAAGAAUAAACACCGGCUUUGAGUAACAGCCUCGAGCAAAAUGCAUCGGAAAGAAUAGAAAUGCCAGUGAAGCAAGAUACUUCAUGAAUUGUGUGAUUUUUCUUUUGAUCGGUUCCGGUCCUUAAUAAAUGCUUUACUCUUCUUCUUUUUCCA
Molecule: long non-coding RNA, 477 nt
Filed under: Ursus americanus (American black bear)
Lineage: Eukaryota; Metazoa; Chordata; Mammalia; Carnivora; Ursidae
Description: lncRNA (ENSUAMG00000027871.1)
Source: RNAcentral